Long non-coding RNA from Pteropus alecto (black flying fox), 4176 nucleotides. RefSeq lists it as uncharacterized. NCBI's taxonomy places the organism in Eukaryota, Metazoa, Chordata, Mammalia, Chiroptera, Pteropodidae. The record is from RefSeq and is a predicted model, not a curated record. The transcript has 2 exons.
AGGGGCGGCUGCCGUCUGAGGCAUGGUGGGAGACAGCUCAGCUUGCUGGGGAUCAGGAGAGGCCUAGAUGGCAGACUCUUUAAGAAGAUAUGAGCCAGACAGGAAACGAAGGGAAAGGCAUUGUCAGGGGUGGAAUAGUACGGACCACGGCGGGGGGCAGAGCAGAGCCUUUUCGGGAAAUUGUGUGUUCUGUGCGGAUGGAGUGAGGGAAAGUGAGGGGGAAGGCGUGUGGGAGAGGCGCAUCUCAUCCUGGCCACCUGCCCACGGAGGCCCUGAAUGCCAGGCCUCUAUGCCAGGGCUGCGGGCAACCAUGGAAAGGCCUUAAGCAGGCGUGAGAUGUGGUCAUGCUCGCGUUUGAAAAAGCCCCCUCUGGCCGCGAGAGCGGCGUGCUGAGAGCAGUUAGGAGGUGCCAGUCGGACGGAGCGGAGAGCCAGCUCACUGCGGAAGAAUUCUGUGACGAGUGCCCUGAGCAGCUGGGACCAGUGGUGCAGCUGUCCUGGCCCGGGUCAAACGGUUCUGCUGCAGUGGAGCCGGUUUGGCUGGAGACGUGAGCAGGUGCGAGAAGAAGCAGAUGAGGCUGCUGUAAACAUGUCAUCGGCAUCCAGCUCUCCCAGUCUGAGGGUCUGGGCGCCACUCUUGGUCCUGAUGUCAAGCCCAGGAGCCGGUGCCUUCCCCCAGACCUGCCCUUUCCAGUGGGCUCCAUCUCUGCCAGCUGGCUCCUCAGAGAGGUGUAAAUAACCUGGAGGGUGGCCGAGGCUUGGGCCUCACCAGCAUGUAUUCUAAUGCCAGAAUGUCACGCUGCCCUGCAGCCCCCGGGGUGGGAGGGUAGGGAGCGGGUCUGCGGGUGGGCGCUGUCUGAGGCUCCUGGACCACGGAUCUGACACCCCGCCGGUCUGGACGACACACUGGGGUAGCCUUCUCUCGGGGCUCCGUGGAGCUGUGUUCCAAGGGUCCCCCGUGGGCGUGGGCUGGCGCUGGGGAAGGGAAGGCCGUGCUGUUGGCCCUUGGCUGGAGGGAGGCAGGGCAACAGGACCACUGGCGCCACUGUCCUCACCAAACACAGGGCCCUGAAGGCUGGAGUGAGUCACAGGUUCAGGCCGGGCUGCUAUCCUGGCUCCAUCUGAGGAUGGGAGGGUGGUCUGAGGGAAAACCCAGGUGGCUUCUCUGGAGGUAGUGGGUGGGGACAGGGGGAAGGGCCAAAGAUGAGCAGAACAGGCCCUCAGAUGGCUCCAGGGCCAGUGAAGUCAUUCUUUCUCCUGCCUUCUCAAGAUGACAGGGUGCCCUCCUGAUGCAAGCUCCUUCUUAACGAAACAGACCAGAAUGUCUGGACUCCCUCCCUCCCUCCCUCCCCUCCUUCAACAAACAGCCACUGAGGAGGAAGAGGAGCAGGCCCCGGGCUGGUGGGGGAGGGAGGGCAUGGAUGCACAAAUGGUUAAUUAGCAUCAAACGGUCAACAUCACGGCAUGCAGAGGUUCAGGGGCAGAGGUGUUGGGGCUGAGAGAGAGCGCUUGGCUCUGCUGGGCUGUGACAGGGAGGGCUUCGCAGAGGAGGUGGCGUUUCUUAAAGAAAGGGUAGUGACUGGCUGCAAGGAGAGAAUGGUCAAGGACGUCCCAGGCAGAGGGCAGGUGGCACACGAGGGCUAAGGUGACUGAAGAAGGCACGAAGGAGUGACUCGCAGAGUGUGGUGGGUGCCAGGACAGAAAUAAGCGGGGGCAAGUGCCUUAGAUGGGGGGCAGUCACCAACCCGUCAUCCGGACCUUGGCCUAAUGUAAAAAGUGCGGAAUCCGACGGGCCUGAGUUCCAGUCCAGAUUUUACCAUUUAACAGCUGCCGAGCUUUAGCUGGCCACUUACUAGCCCCGAGCCUCAGUUUCCUCAUCUGUACAAUGGGAUCACUGUGACUCCGGGGUGUCUGUAAGGAUCAGAAGUGGCAGCACUUUGCAGAAUGGAAAUAGCUCUGCAAACACGGGGCGUCUUUGGAGCAGGCCCUCAGCAGCAGCCCACGUCCGCAUUGACCUUUUGGGGUGCUACUUCCUGGAGAAUGGCCACAGAAGGCUGCGCUCACCCAGUUAGGUCAGUGUUCACGCAGACUGUUACCAUACCCUCUGUGGGGUCACUUUGCUUGGGACCAGCUGCUUCCUGCCCAGGGUUUUGGGGGCCUGCUGUGGGGAACUCGCAGGCAAGGGGACCGAAGCCUGAACCGCAGCCGAAGAAUGUUCUAGUGUGACUCCUGGGCCUUUGGGCCAUGAAUGCUGGGACAGCCAGGCAUGAGGGGGUAGGGCCGGCGAAUACAAGUGGGACAGGGACCCUGCGGCAACAUAGGACAACGGGGCAGCAGCUGAGUGAGGCCGGGAGUGGGACCACGAGGAUGGGAGGAGGAGGACGGUGUGAAACAGACGAGCGAGGCGGCCGUGCUCCCUGAACCGCCCUCGCCUCCGCCCCCCGCCCCCUGUCCCAGCACCCUCAGCUUUGGGGCUGCCUGAGGAGGUGAGACUGGCGGGGAGGAAGGAAAGGGCCUUUUUAGCUUUGGGCACCUGCUGAUGGACCCCCUCGGGCCUGCCUGCCACGUGCCGUAUUAUGGUACCAGACCCCUGGAGUCGCCCCGACGCAGCUGGGGCGGUGUUCCUGGUGCUCUGUUCUCAGCAGUUCUUCGCCAGAGAGUGCGGCCGCAGCUGGCUGCUGAGCUCAGGUCCCCACAGGGCGUAGGCAUCACUCGGGGCCAGGUGGUCCUCAGCACCUGUCCUGGCUCUCAAACCCUCUCUAAGUCCCUGGUCUGCUCCGGCAGCUCUCGUGGUCCCUGUGAGUAACGCUGUGGUGCCAGGCCAGGGCCGUGCCCAGUGACUCAGCUGGGCCCUCUUCUUUCCACUAAGUAGGUGCCAUAAAUAUUUGUUGAAUUAAACUCUUGCCUCUGGUUGGGAUUUUCCACUGCAGCCAGAUAGCUGCUCACAGCCCUGCCGUGGGCCUAGGCCACAUCCGCGUCUGCCUGCGUGUAAACCGUUCCUUCUCUCCUCUGCGUAUUCGGUUCCUUCUCAGACACCUUUCAAACUGCUCCUCAAAACCUCUGUCUCCUGGAAGUCUUCUUCCCCAGGUGUCCAGCCUCCUCCCCGCGGGACCCUAGCCUGCCCGAGACCUCUGGCAGCUGUACCCGGUGUGUGCUUAGUGACCUCUGCUUCCUGUUCCUUCAUGGUUUGUCCUUCUUCUGUGUGGGUCUCAGUGGCAUGACAGGAGAACGGGCCCCCAAACCAGGACUGUCAAGAGUCCUGUUUGUGUGUGCCAGCGUGCGACAGAAAGGCUGCCUCCUGUGGGCGGGCAGAGGGCCAAGGCCCAGCUAAGCCACAUGAGACCAAGACUGCAGUGUGCAGAGAAAGAAGAUCUCUCGUAGGCCUGGCGACCACACUCCCUGGCCGCCGUGUGCGGGUCUGACUCUCGCCUGUCGCCCUGGACUCGUUAUUUAAGAGCACUGUUGGCCAUGCGGCUCCCUGAUCGGAGGGCCUUUCAUGGGUCCCCAGGGUGUGGGGAACCAAGGACUGAGGCGGAUUCAUGAAGCACACAGGUAGCAGGACAGACCACAGUUUAAAGUCUGCAGUGUGGUUUGCAAGGAAAUGUGUGGCAGGCGUGUGAGCACCAAAGAAGGUUGGGUAAGAGAGGGAGAGAGCUUUGCAAGCCAUGAAGUUCCUCAGUGUUCAUAGUAACAGCCAACCCUUGUAGGGUAUGGUUUACCACACUACUAAGCAACCCCGUGAUGGAGAUCGCAUUAUUGCUUCCAUCUUAUAGGUGCAGAAACCGAGGCACAGAGCGGUUAAGUGGCUUACCAAAGGUCACAUCACGAGAAAGCCAGGUUUUAAAACCUGGGCCGGGUUCUCGACCCCUGCGUUAUGGUGCCUCACCUCACAUCCGACGCUUCAGUGAUAUCUACCACAGAGAGUUUGUGAAGACAAAGUAAGGCCACGGGUGUGAGUUUGCUUUGUGAGCUAGAAACAUUUUUACAAACAUUGGAAAGUAUUUUGGAAAUAGCUAACUUGUGACAGACUGUGGAGAUACAGUAAAAAAUGAAAGUAUUUGCAAAUUCCCCUCAAAUCCAUUAUCUCGAAACUAAUCGUAAAGUGAGAUUAUGAAUUUUUUCCCCUUCUUUCUCUUUUUUUCCACAUGACUAAAUUGUAAUAAAAUUGCUUUGAUAA